RNAcentral lists this ribosomal RNA (437 nucleotides) under uncultured Actinomycetes bacterium. RNAcentral's name for it is "bacterial SSU rRNA". It matches the Rfam family "Bacterial small subunit ribosomal RNA", at positions 28 to 462 of the family's 1533-position model. The record is from RNAcentral. Lineage: Bacteria; Bacillati; Actinomycetota; Actinomycetes.
GACGAACGCUGGCGGCGCGCUUAACACAUGCAAGUCGAACGAGAUGCUCGGAGCUUGCUCCGGGCGGACAGUGGCGAACGGGUGAGGAACACGUGAGGAACCUGCCCCGAAGACCGGGAUAACACCGGGAAACCGGUGCUAAUACCGGAUGUCCUCAUCGGAUCGCAUGAUCUGAUGAGGAAAUGGAUUCCGCUUCGGGAUGGUCUCGCGGCCUAUCAGCUUGUUGGUGAGGUAACGGCCCACCAAGGCUUCGACGGGUAGCUGGUCUGAGAGGAUGUCCAGCCACACUGGGACUGAGACACGGCCCAGACUCCUACGGGAGGCAGCAGUGGGGAAUCUUGCACAAUGGGCGAAAGCCUGAUGCAGCGACGCCGCGUGCGGGAUGACGGCCUUCGGGUUGUAAACCGCUUUCAGCAGGGACGAAAAUGACGGUACUC